This 491-nucleotide ribosomal RNA is filed under the name uncultured bacterium. Its description in RNAcentral is "bacterial SSU rRNA". It matches the Rfam family "Bacterial small subunit ribosomal RNA", at positions 28 to 507 of the family's 1533-position model. The record is from RNAcentral.
GAUGAACGCUAGCGGCAGGCUUAACACAUGCAAGUCGAGGGGCAGCAUGAGGGUUAGCAAUAACCCUUGAUGGCGACCGGCGCGAAGGGUGCGUAACGCGUGAGCAACUUGCCCGUUUCAGGGGGAUAACCGGUGGAAACGCCGACUAAUACCCCAUAGCAUUGGUUUGAGGCAUCUCUACUCAAUUAAAGAAUUUCGGAGAGGGAUGGGGAUGCGUUCCAUUAGGUAGUAGGCGGGGUAACGGCCCACCUAGCCGACGAUGGAUAGGGGGUUCUGAGAGGAAGGUCCCCCACACUGGAACUGAGACACGGUCCAAACUCCUACGGGAGGCAGCAGUGAGGAAUAUUGGUCAAUGGACGGAAGUCUGAACCAGCCAAGUAGCGUGCAGGAUGACGGCCCUAUGGGUUGUAAACUGCUUUUAUGUGGGAAUAAAGUCAGGGACGUGUCCCUGUUUGCAUGUACCACAGGAAUAAGGACCGGCUAAUUCCGUG